UCUCAUUGAUCUGACAAAGAUCUGCUUGGU
This 30-nucleotide non-coding RNA is filed under the name Rattus norvegicus (Norway rat). The record is from RNAcentral. Lineage: Eukaryota; Metazoa; Chordata; Mammalia; Rodentia; Muridae.